CCCGACUGCUAUUUGGGUGAGAAUAAGCCAUGCAAGUCGAAUGGAAUACCAAAAUAUUCCAUGGCAAACUGCUCAAUAACACGUGAUCAACUUACCCUAUGGAAAACAAUAACCUCUGGAAACGGAGGAUAAUGGCUUAUAGUUGAAAAGGCUUGGAAAAGUUUUUCAAUAAAAGGGAAUAAUAAAAAUGGUUAUUAUUUUGCCAUAGGAUAGGAUUGCGGUCGAUUAUGGCUGUUGGUGAGGUAUGGCUCACCAAACCAAUAAUCGAUAGGGGCCGUGAGAGCGGGAGCCCCGAGAUGGGUACUGAGACAACGACCCAGGCCUUACGAGGUGCAGCAGGCGCGAAAACUCCGCAAUACACGAAAGUGUGACGGGUUACCCAAAGUGCUUAAUUUUUAAGCUGUGGUAAGUGUGUAAUGUACCUUACUAGAAAGGAGAGGGCAAGGCUGGUGCCAGCCGCCGCGGUAAAACCAGCUCUUCAAGUGGUCGGGAUAUUAUUGGGCUUAAAGUGUCCGUAGCUUGUAUAAUAAGUUCCUGGUAAAAUCUAAUAGCUUAACUAUUAGUAUGCUAGGAAUACUGUUAUACUAGAGGGCGGGAGAGGUUUGAGGUACUUCAGGGGUAGGGGUGAAAUCCUAUAAUCCUUGAAGGACCACCAGUGGCGAAGGCGUCAGACUGGAACGCGCCUGACAGUGAGGGACGAAAGCCAGGGGAGCGAACCGGAUUAGAUACCCGGGUAGUCCUGGCCGUAAACGAUGCACACUAGGUGUUGGUAUGGCUAUGAGCCAUAUCAGUGCCGAAGGGAAACCAUUAAGUGUGCCGCCUGGGAAGUACGGUCGCAAGGCUAAAACUUAAAGGAAUUGGCGGGGGAGCACCACAAGGGGUGAAGCCUGCGGUUCA
Molecule: ribosomal RNA, 897 nt
Filed under: uncultured archaeon
Lineage: Archaea
Description: bacterial SSU rRNA
Rfam family: Archaeal small subunit ribosomal RNA
Source: RNAcentral